Molecule: long non-coding RNA, 864 nt
Filed under: Mytilus galloprovincialis (Mediterranean mussel)
Lineage: Eukaryota; Metazoa; Mollusca; Bivalvia; Mytilida; Mytilidae
Source: RNAcentral
UGCAUGAAGAUCUGUUUAUUGAGGAUAUAAAUACACAAAAGUAGCACAACUGCAUAACGUAAAUGCACCAUAUUGAAUUGUCAUUGCUAGCCAUUUAAUAGCAAAACUAUAAAAUAAUUCUUGAAAGGUUGAGUGUAAAGGAGUAGGUUCAGUAAGACCCCUUUUUUGCCCCACAAUUAAGCAGUUUUGCAAAAUUGUGAAAAUGUAAUCUUUUAGCUAUUUUUUGGAAAGCAGAAUGCUUCUGCUACAUAAAUAUGUGCUGUUUUUGACAAUACAAUGCACAUAUAUCGUGUACUAGCAUCAUAAAGUCAUGCUAAAUUACUAAAAUCUUCACAAUUAUAGCAUUUUAGUUAAAUUUUAGACGGUUUCCGUCUUAAAUGAAAAUGGCCGUAUUCGUGUUCAUUCAUAAUAUUGAUGAACACGGAUGCGGCCACUUUCAUUUUUGACGAAAACCAUCUGAAAAGUGACGUUUUUGGCAUAUUUGAUAGAUUUUUCAUAUUUAAGCUUCAAUCAGAGCGUUUUUAAUGACUGGAUCAGUUAAAAUCUUUAGCAUAAACUAAUCGAAUCAUUUAAAAUAGACACUUAAGUGUUUAAAAAGUGUCCUAAAUAUCUCGUUAGAUGAAACUGAAAUUUGGGGCCAAAAUCGGCCCUUACCGGACCUACUCCUUUGAAUCUAAUCGAACAAAUGCAUCAUGACAAAUAGAUAAAUGGAAUACACUAAUAUUAUAAUGUCAUAUAACUGUUAAAAGGAAAAAUAACAGUUUGUUAAAAAAAUCAAUAUAACUAACAUGUUGUUUUUUGUAAAUCUUAUCUACCAUUAUUUUCCUAUGGUCCAUAUGACGAAUACAAAAUUGAUAGUUUCUC